UAGGGAAUCUUCGGCAAUGGACGAAAGUCUGACCGAGCAACGCCGCGUGAGUGAAGAAGGUUUUCGGAUCGUAAAACUCUGUUGGUAGAGAAGAACGUUGGUGAGAGUGGAAAGCUCAUCAAGUGACGGUAACUACCCAGAAAGGGACGGCUAACUACGUGCCAGCAGCCGCGGUAAUACGAAGGUCCCGAGCGUUGUCCGGAUUUAUUGGGCGUAAAGCGAGCGCAGGUGGUUUAUUAAGUCUGGUGUAAAAGGCAGUGGCUCAACCAUUGUAUGCAUUGGAAACUUGUAGACUUGAGUGCAGGAGAGGAGAGUGGAAUUCCAUGUGUAGCGGUGAAAUGCGUAGAUAUAUGGAGGAACACCGGUGGCGAAAGCGGCUCUCUGGCCUGUAACUGAAACUGAGGCUCGAAAGCGUGGGGAGCAAACA
RNAcentral lists this ribosomal RNA (427 nucleotides) under uncultured bacterium. Its description in RNAcentral is "partial 16S ribosomal RNA". It matches the Rfam family "Bacterial small subunit ribosomal RNA", at positions 355 to 774 of the family's 1533-position model. The record is from RNAcentral.